CAGCAGCCACGGUAAUACGUAGGUGGCAAGCGUUGUCCGGAUUUAUUGGGCGUAAAGCGAGCGCAGGCGGUUAGAUAAGUCUGAAGUUAAAGGCUGUGGCUUAACCAUAGUAUGCUUUGGAAACUGUUUAACUUGAGUGCAGAAGGGGAGAGUGGAAUUCCAUGUGUAGCGGUGAAAUGCGUAGAUAUAUGGAGGAACACCGGUGGCGAAAGCGGCUCUCUGGUCUGUAACUGACGCUGAGGCUCGAAAGCGUGGGGAGCAAACAGGAUUAGAUACCCCCGUAGUCCCUGUCUCUUAUACA
RNAcentral lists this ribosomal RNA (301 nucleotides) under uncultured bacterium. Its description in RNAcentral is "partial 16S ribosomal RNA". It matches the Rfam family "Bacterial small subunit ribosomal RNA", at positions 509 to 808 of the family's 1533-position model. The record is from RNAcentral.